Molecule: ribosomal RNA, 1242 nt
Filed under: Triticum aestivum (bread wheat)
Lineage: Eukaryota; Viridiplantae; Streptophyta; Magnoliopsida; Poales; Poaceae
Description: partial small subunit ribosomal RNA
Source: RNAcentral
UCGGAUCAUUGCCCUUUGCUCCUGGUGAAUGACUCGAUCAUCAAGACCAAUAGACACUUCCGUUUCGAAGCUUACUGGCAAUUCAUCUCAGGCUAUAAGGAACUCGUAGAACAGUCCUGGACAGCCCCAGUCGGCAACAGCUGCUCUCUAUCCACCUUAAACACAAAACUGUGGCGCUUGAGCAAGGCUCUAAGGGCUUGCAGCAAAAAUAUGGUUGGAGACAUCCAGAAACAGCUUGUUGUGGUAAAUGAGCUGAUCCGGCAGCUUGACACGGCCCAAGAUUUCAGGCAGCUAACGGAGGAGGAACAAGAGCUGCAGAUAAAACUUAAAUCUAGGUCCACGGGACUAGCAGUUCUUCUGAAAAUUAAAUUGAGGCAGAGGAGUCGGGUGCUUUGGUUCAGGGCAACAGACACAAAUACCAAAUUCUUCCAAAGAAAGGCGAAUGCGAGGCACAAGCGCAAUACGAUCCACGUCUUACACGGUCCAGCUGGGGCCGUGUCAAAUUCUGCUGCCAUGGCGGAGCUGGCACACGACCACUUCCGAAAUAUUUUCAGAACUGAGCAAAACACAUCAUCCACCCUUAACUGGGAUGAGCUUGAUCUGGAUCAGGUGGACCCAGAUGGCAUGGAGGCAGGGUUCACCAUGCAAGAGGUAAAGGAUGCGAUCGAUGACAUGCUGGUUGACAAGGCACCCGGACCGGACGGUUUCUCAGGUGGUUUCUUCAAAUCCUGUUGGGAGAUCAUCAAGUGGGAUAUUGUGGCGGCCCUACAUCAGCUCUACCUGUCGGCGUUCUCAGAAUGGGGGUCCCCAGACUUGCCUGCCUGCGGCCUGCGGCGUGGCUCAAGUGGGGGCCCAGCGCGGCCCAUCUUCAUCAGCCCAAGCUCAAGACCCUCACGAGGAGCCAAGCCUCGCGGGGCGGACGACAGGAAGCUUCCUCAAGAGCGGCCUCAUCAAGCAGGCUCGCGAGGAGGCGGAGAGAUCAAUGCAAGGGUACCUCGCGAGGAUCCCAUGAUGCAAGCCAUGACGAUCAAGGCCAGGCGGGCGCCAGGCGGGCGCCGGCCUGCGCAGGGUCCUUGUUUCCCCUUUGGUGCAAAGGGGACAAGCACAUGCCAAGGUAUCAGGCAAAGGUUACCAUUCCGGUGCAACGAGACCAAGACCAGCCGGACGGAGGUCACCGUGGAGCCCAAGACGGCGUCAUCACCAGUGCUUUUGGCAGCCGAAGACCACCUUUGGUCAGGAUAA